UACGUAGGGUGCGAGCGUUAAUCGGAAUUACUGGGCGUAAAGCGUGCGCAGGCGGUUUGAUAAGACAGGCGUGAAAUCCCCGAGCUUAACUUGGGAAUGGCGCUUGUGACUGUCAGGCUAGAGUGCGUCAGAGGGGGGUAGAAUUCCACGUGUAGCAGUGAAAUGCGUAGAGAUGUGGAGGAAUACCGAUGGCGAAGGCAGCCCCCUGGGACGUGACUGACGCUCAUGCACGAAAGCGUGGGGAGCAAACAGG
RNAcentral lists this ribosomal RNA (253 nucleotides) under uncultured bacterium. Its description in RNAcentral is "partial 16S ribosomal RNA". It matches the Rfam family "Bacterial small subunit ribosomal RNA", at positions 524 to 776 of the family's 1533-position model. The record is from RNAcentral. RNAcentral also lists the same sequence under 1 other name.